CACACUAUCAUUAACUGAAUCCAUAGGUUAAUGAGGCGAACCGGGGGAACUGAAACAUCUAAGUACCCCGAGGAAAAGAAAUCAACCGAGAUUCCCCCAGUAGCGGCGAGCGAACGGGGAGCAGCCCAGAGCCUGAAUCAGUGUGUGUGUUAGUGGAAGCGUCUGGAAAGGCGCGCGAUACAGGGUGACAGCCCCGUACACAAAAAUGCACAUACUGUGAGCUCGAUGAGUAGGGCGGGACACGUGGUAUCCUGUCUGAAUAUGGGGGGACCAUCCUCCAAGGCUAAAUACUCCUGACUGACCGAUAGUGAACCAGUACCGUGAGGGAAAGGCGAAAAGAACCCCGGCGAGGGGAGUGAAAAAGAACCUGAAACCGUGUACGUACAAGCAGUGGGAGCACGCUUAGGCGUGUGACUGCGUACCUUUUGUAUAAUGGGUCAGCGACUUAUAUUCUGUAGCAAGGUUAACCGAAUAGGGGAGCCGAAGGGAAACCGAGUCUUAACUGGGCGUUAAGUUGCAGGGUAUAGACCCGAAACCCGGUGAUCUAGCCAUGGGCAGGUUGAAGGUUGGGUAACACUAACUGGAGGACCGAACCGACUAAUGUUGAAAAAUUAGCGGAUGACUUGUGGCUGGGGGUGAAAGGCCAAUCAAACCGGGAGAUAGCUGGUUCUCCCCGAAAGCUAUUUAGGUAGCGCCUCGUGAAUUCAUCUCCGGGGGUAGAGCACUGUUUCGGCAAGGGGGUCAUCCCGACUUACCAACCCGAUGCAAACUGCGAAUACCGGAGAAUGUUAUCACGGGAGACACACGGCGGGUGCUAACGUCCGUCGUGAAGAGGGAAACAACCCAGACCGCCAGCUAAGGUCCCAAAGUCAUGGUUAAGUGGGAAACGAUGUGGGAAGGCCCAGACAGCCAGGAUGUUGGCUUAGAAGCAGCCAUCAUUUAAAGAAAGCGUAAUAGCUCACUGGUCGAGUCGGCCUGCGCGGAAGAUGUAACGGGGCUAAACCAUGCACCGAAGCUGCGGCAGCGACGCUUAUGCGUUGUUGGGUAGGGGAGCGUUCUGUAAGCCUGCGAAGGUGUGCUGUGAGGCAUGCUGGAGGUAUCAGAAGUGCGAAUGCUGACAUAAGUAACGAUAAAGCGGGUGAAAAGCCCGCUCGCCGGAAGACCAAGGGUUCCUGUCCAACGUUAAUCGGGGCAGGGUGAGUCGACCCCUAAGGCGAGGCCGAAAGGCGUAGUCGAUGGGAAACAGGUUAAUAUUCCUGUACUUGGUGUUACUGCGAAGGGGGGACGGAGAAGGCUAUGUUGGCCGGGCGACGGUUGUCCCGGUUUAAGCGUGUAGGCUGGUUUUCCAGGCAAAUCCGGAAAAUCAAGGCUGAGGCGUGAUGACGAGGCACUACGGUGCUGAAGCAACAAAUGCCCUGCUUCCAGGAAAAGCCUCUAAGCAUCAGGUAACAUCAAAUCGUACCCCAAACCGACACAGGUGGUCAGGUAGAGAAUACCAAGGCGCUUGAGAGAACUCGGGUGAAGGAACUAGGCAAAAUGGUGCCGUAACUUCGGGAGAAGGCACGCUGAUAUGUAGGUGAAGUCCCUCGCGGAUGGAGCUGAAAUCAGUCGAAGAUACCAGCUGGCUGCAACUGUUUAUUAAAAACACAGCACUGUGCAAACACGAAAGUGGACGUAUACGGUGUGACGCCUGCCCGGUGCCGGAAGGUUAAUUGAUGGGGUUAGCGCAAGCGAAGCUCUUGAUCGAAGCCCCGGUAAACGGCGGCCGUAACUAUAACGGUCCUAAGGUAGCGAAAUUCCUUGUCGGGUAAGUUCCGACCUGCACGAAUGGCGUAAUGAUGGCCAGGCUGUCUCCACCCGAGACUCAGUGAAAUUGAACUCGCUGUGAAGAUGCAGUGUACCCGCGGCAAGACGGAAAGACCCCGUGAACCUUUACUAUAGCUUGACACUGAACAUUGAGCCUUGAUGUGUAGGAUAGGUGGGAGGCUUUGAAGUGUGGACGCCAGUCUGCAUGGAGCCGACCUUGAAAUACCACCCUUUAAUGUUUGAUGUUCUAACGUGGACCCGUAAUCCGGGUUGCGGACAGUGUCUGGUGGGUAGUUUGACUGGGGCGGUCUCCUCCUAAAGAGUAACGGAGGAGCACGAAGGUUGGCUAAUCCUGGUCGGACAUCAGGAGGUUAGUGCAAUGGCAUAAGCCAGCUUGACUGCGAGCGUGACGGCGCGAGCAGGUGCGAAAGCAGGUCAUAGUGAUCCGGUGGUUCUGAAUGGAAGGGCCAUCGCUCAACGGAUAAAAGGUACUCCGGGGAUAACAGGCUGAUACCGCCCAAGAGUUCAUAUCGACGGCGGUGUUUGGCACCUCGAUGUCGGCUCAUCACAUCCUGGGGCUGAAGUAGGUCCCAAGGGUAUGGCUGUUCGCCAUUUAAAGUGGUACGCGAGCUGGGUUUAGAACGUCGUGAGACAGUUCGGUCCCUAUCUGCCGUGGGCGCUGGAGAACUGAGGGGGGCUGCUCCUAGUACGAGAGGACCGGAGUGGACGCAUCACUGGUGUUCGGGUUGUCAUGCCAAUGGCACUGCCCGGUAGCUAAAUGCGGAAGAGAUAAGUGCUGAAAGCAUCUAAGCACGAAACUUGCCCCGAGAUGAGUUCUCCCUGAC
Molecule: ribosomal RNA, 2651 nt
Filed under: Escherichia coli
Lineage: Bacteria; Pseudomonadati; Pseudomonadota; Gammaproteobacteria; Enterobacterales; Enterobacteriaceae
Description: bacterial LSU rRNA
Rfam family: Bacterial large subunit ribosomal RNA
Source: RNAcentral